UUUGAUUGUAAAAUUUUAAAACUAAAGUAGUAAUAGUUAAUGAUCUUGAAACUUAAAGAAUUUGGCGGUAUUUUAGUCUAUUUAGAGGAACCUGUUUCGUGAUCGAUAGUCCACGUUGAACCUUACUUAAURAUUUUGUAUGUAUACCGCCGUAUAUUGAAUAUUUUAUUAGGAUGAUUUUCUUGAUAUUUAGUUUAUAAAAUUUCAGGUCAAGGUGCAGUUGAUAAUUAAGUGAAAAUGGGUUACAAUAUUUAAAGAUARUACGRAUUAUUGGUUGAAAAGAUUAAGGAUGAAGGUGAAUUUAAUAGUAAUUUCUUGUAGAUUGUAGRAUUGAUUUUAGCUCYARAAUGUGU
RNAcentral lists this ribosomal RNA (353 nucleotides) under Paradicta rotunda. RNAcentral's name for it is "partial 12S ribosomal RNA". The record is from RNAcentral. Lineage: Eukaryota; Metazoa; Arthropoda; Insecta; Blattodea; Blaberidae.